This 497-nucleotide ribosomal RNA is filed under the name uncultured bacterium. RNAcentral describes it as "partial 16S ribosomal RNA". It matches the Rfam family "Bacterial small subunit ribosomal RNA", at positions 28 to 507 of the family's 1533-position model. The record is from RNAcentral.
GAUGAACGCUGGCGGCGUGCCUAAUACAUGCAAGUCGAGCGAACAGACGCGGCGCUUGCGCCUCUGACGUUAGCGGCAGAGGGGUGAGUAACACGUGUAUAACCUACCUAUAAUACUGGUAUAACUUCGGAAAACCGGAGCUAAUAGCGGAGAAGAUAUUGAACCGCAUUGUUCGAUAGUGAAAGACGGUUUUGCUGUCACUUAUAGAUGGAUCCGCGCCGCAUGAGCUGGUUGGGAAGGUCACGGCCUACUAAGGCGACGAUGCGUAGACGACGUGAGAGGGUGAUAGGCCACCUUGGAAGUGAGCCAGGGACCAGACUACUAAGGGAGGCAGCAGUAGGGAACGGUAGGCAGCGGUCGGAAACCUGACGGAGCAACGGCGCGCGUGUGAUGACAGUGCUGGGAUCGUAAUACUGUGUUAUUAGUGAAGAACCACUGUGUAAGUAACCGUGCACGGCUUGACGGUAACUAGUAAGAAAGCAACGGCUAACUACGUG